Molecule: ribosomal RNA, 482 nt
Filed under: uncultured bacterium
Lineage: Bacteria
Description: partial 16S ribosomal RNA
Rfam family: Bacterial small subunit ribosomal RNA
Source: RNAcentral
UGACCGCUGGCGGCAUGCUUUACACAUGCACGUCGCCCGGCAGCGCGGGCUUCGGCCUGGCGGCGAGUGGCGAACGGGUGAGUAAUACAUCGGAACGUGCCCAGUAGUGGGGGAUAGCUCGGCGAAAGCCGGAUUAAUACCGCAUACGACCUGAGGGUGAAAGCGGGGGAUCUUCGGACCUCGCGCUAUUGGAGCGGCCGAUGGCAGAUUAGCUAGUUGGUGGGGUAAAGGCCUACCAAGGCGACGAUCUGUAGCUGGUCUGAGAGGACGACCAGCCACACUGGGACUGAGACACGGCCCAGACUCCUACGGGAGGCAGCAGUGGGGAAUUUUGGACAAUGGGCGAAAGCCUGAUCCAGCAAUGCCGCGUGUGUGAUGAAGGCCUUCGGGUUGUAAAGCACUUUUGGCGGGAACGAAAAGGACUGUGCCAAUACCACGGUUCGAUGACGGUACCCGCAGAAUAAGCACCGGCUAACUACGUG